ACCGGGUGCGUUGGCAUGUGCCUGUAUCCAAGUCACUGGGAGGCUGAGGUUGGUGGAUCAAGUGAGCUGAGGAGCUCUGGGCUGCAGCACGCUAUGUCGAACGGGUGUCCACGCCAAGUUCGGUAUCGAUAUGGUGUUCCUGGGGGAGCCCGGGACCACCAGGGUUGUCUAAGGAGGGGUGAACCGGCCCAGGUCGGAAACGAAGCAGGUCAAAUCCCCCGUGCUGUCCAGUAGUGGGAUAAUACCUGUGAGUAGAUGCUGCAGUGCAGCCUUGGCAAAACAUUGAGACCUAGACUUUA
This 299-nucleotide signal recognition particle RNA is filed under the name Oncorhynchus mykiss (rainbow trout). RNAcentral's name for it is "Metazoan signal recognition particle RNA (ENSOMYG00000061690.1)". It matches the Rfam family "Metazoan signal recognition particle RNA". From Rfam's summary of the family: The signal recognition particle (SRP) is a universally conserved ribonucleoprotein. It is involved in the co-translational targeting of proteins to membranes. The eukaryotic SRP consists of a 300-nucleotide 7S RNA and six proteins: SRPs 72, 68, 54, 19, 14, and 9. The record is from RNAcentral. Lineage: Eukaryota; Metazoa; Chordata; Actinopteri; Salmoniformes; Salmonidae.